AUUCUCUGUGCCCUCUUUCAGGGAAUCAAUGUGAUUCUGCUGAUCCUCGCGAUUUUGGAAUUUGCCUUCUCCAUCGCAGUCUCAAGCUUUGGCUGUAAAGCAACUUGUUGUAGUCAGAGUGGGGUUACCAUCUUCAUGCCUUCUCCAUCCCAAGUACCAGUUACUGAGGCAUAAAGAGGAGAGAAACUACUUCAAAGGAGAGCUGCUGACACCACCGCAUUACCUGGAAGUCACCCUGACAGUCUCAUAUCACACAUGCUUCCCUGUUCCUCAGAGAAAGCUCCUUCCAUCAUUGGCUGUUUUUCAAUGAAACAAAGAGCAAAUUGUCUCAGGUUUCCUGAAAUUCUUUGUUAACAGUCGCUUUCAUUCUUAGUCAUGCACUGAUCACAUCUACUUCCCCAUUUUGCACCCAGGCCCCUGAAUAUCUCAGGCUUUGCUCACAAACUAUCAGCAAACAUAUCAGGAAAUCUUUUUCCUUUCGGUGCACAGGAAGACUAAUCUGCCCAAGACUCCCUAUGGAUGCUGGGAAAUAGGGUCAUUACAAGAGAAGAGGAGAGAAGGAAAAGAGAUGGGAAUGGGAGUACCAAACUACUUCUCUUCUGUUCUCCAUGAAUCAAGAUUCCCACCUAUGGAAUUUCCUGCUGCUCCUACAUGUGAAAUUGGAUGUUUCCACCUCCAGUGGCCUGGACUCCAUCAUCUUUGUUCUUUGCCCUCUCUGUUUGCUCCUGGAGCAUCCUGACCGUUGCUGUGAAUACCUCCUCUCAACAUUGCUUCCCUGCCACUGAGGCAUUUGUAGAGGAACUUAGGCUGAUCUCAAAGUUUCUUCUUCCUUUUCUGACCCCAGAGUUGCUCACACAAUCACAAAUUCCCUCAUAACUGAUCCCUUUCCUACCACCAACGUCACCUUUCAGAACUUCCUCCUUUGGACUUUUGGACUGGGACUGAGAAGAGCUGUGGCUGAAGAUCCUGCCUUUGCUGCUUCAUAUCUAUGUGCCCAUAGCCUAAGUUUUCUGAACCUCAGUUUCCUUUCCUGUAAAAUAGGAUUAGCCAUGUCUAUACUAGUGAUCUCACAGGAGGGUUAUGAGCAUUCUAUGGCAGAGCAUAUUCCAAGUACUUUGUCAACCUAGGAAUGCCGACUAAGUGUCAGUGUGGUGGUGACAUAUAGUUGUGUACUCAGAGUAAGGAAAACUGAUUGUACAUCUGCCCCAGGGCCCUUCCUAGCUGUGUGACCCUGCUCACCUCACUGAACUUCAUCUCAGUCUCAGUUUUCUCAUCUGUGAAAUGAAGCCAAUAAUAGCCCUGCCUCCCGGAGCUUUAUUUCUUCUUGGCAAGGAGGACGUAAUGUUUGAAAAGUGUUUUGCACACCUUAAAGAGUCAUAUAAAUGCUAACUAGCUAACCGUCAUGUCAGGCAUUUUUAUUUCUCGUUAUUAAUGUUUGUCUAAAUUUUCUUCUUAUCACAGUCUAGUUUUAGAUAUUCUGGACGUUGGCUUGUAUAAAGUUUUGGAGACAGUUGGAGGAAGUUAGGACCCAAAUACUGUGGGGUUUCCCUUGCUCUAGCUGGAAGCUGAAGUUCCAAUUCAAAUAUGACCUUAAGAAGGAUUUAGUAGCUAUUAUGUCAAUAGCAAUGACUGUGACUACAGUAACAAUAAUGUCUGGCAUUUACAUACUUUUUUGAGGCGAUUUGUCACUUUAUCCUCACAGGAACUCUGGGUUGUGAUGAGAAUCUGCUUCAGUGACUUGCCCAGAGUCACAUGGCUAGAAAGCAAGUGUCUGAGGCCUAGUUUAAGUCAGUUUUUCCUGAAUCCAGACCCAAUUCUCUAGGUAAAGCUUUUCUGACUCCUUUAGGGUUCAAAGGCUAUAAUGUGGCUUACUGAGAAGAGUCCUGGCCUUUGAGUUCUCAAGUUGUCUUCUUGGGAUGUAGAAGUGAACAAAGCUGCUGACCUUUAAGAGUUGUGAGAGAACAUGGACAAGUCAGUUGACAUAUCUAGGAUCCACUUUCCUUAUGUAGAAGGGGGGAAAUGGUUUAAAUGAACCUCAUUUCAUCCUAAGAUAUUGGAAAUAAGGUAUAUUCUGAUAUUUCCUCUGCAGUUAAUUAAAGUGCAUCAUUUCUAA
Non-coding RNA from Monodelphis domestica (gray short-tailed opossum), 2113 nucleotides. Lineage: Eukaryota; Metazoa; Chordata; Mammalia; Didelphimorphia; Didelphidae. The record is from RefSeq and is a predicted model, not a curated record.